This 430-nucleotide ribosomal RNA is filed under the name Elphidium sp. S4. Its description in RNAcentral is "SSU rRNA". It matches the Rfam family "Eukaryotic small subunit ribosomal RNA", at positions 1197 to 1458 of the family's 1831-position model. The record is from RNAcentral. Lineage: Eukaryota; Foraminifera; Rotaliida; Elphidiidae.
GACUCACGCGGGAAUCUUACCGGGUCCGGACACACUGAGGAUUGACAGGUUUCGAGAGUUUUUUUGGAGUUCGCUCCAGAAUGCUCUCUUAAAUAUGCUAGUCCUUUCAUGAUUAUGUGAUAGGUGGUGCAUGGCCGUUCUUAGUUCGUGGAGUGAUCUGUCUGCUUAAUUGCGUUUCACUAAAGGCGUCAUUAUAUUUUUGUGCUUGUGUUUGACCCCUCUUUCUUCGGAUUGAGCGCGUGUCUUUCACACACAAUUACUUUGACGUCUGAAAGCAACGAACGUGACCGUAACCUCUUGUUGCCUUCUCUUCUCUUCGGAGAAUGCUAGUUUUUUUCUUCGGAUAAAUUCUAGUAUAUGGAGGCUUUUACUCAAACUAGAGGGACCGCUGUUACUUUCUUUAAACCAGAGGAAGGUUGCGGCAAUAACA